AAAUUGAAGAGUUUGAUCAUGGCUCAGAUUGAACGCUGGCGGCAGGCCUAACACAUGCAAGUCGAACGGUAACAGGAAACAGCUUGCUGUUUCGCUGACGAGUGGCGGACGGGUGAGUAAUGUCUGGGAAACUGCCUGAUGGAGGGGGAUAACUACUGGAAACGGUAGCUAAUACCGCAUAACGUCGCAAGACCAAAGAGGGGGACCUUAGGGCCUCUUGCCAUCGGAUGUGCCCAGAUGGGAUUAGCUAGUAGGUGGGGUAACGGCUCACCUAGGCGACGAUCCCUAGCUGGUCUGAGAGGAUGACCAGCCACACUGGAACUGAGACACGGUCCAGACUCCUACGGGAGGCAGCAGUGGGGAAUAUUGCACAAUGGGCGCAAGCCUGAUGCAGCCAUGCCGCGUGUAUGAAGAAGGCCUUCGGGUUGUAAAGUACUUUCAGCGGGGAGGAAGGGAGUAAAGUUAAUACCUUUGCUCAUUGACGUUACCCGCAGAAGAAGCACCGGCUAACUCCGUGCCAGCAGCCGCGGUAAUACGGAGGGUGCAAGCGUUAAUCGGAAUUACUGGGCGUAAAGCGCACGCAGGCGGUUUGUUAAGUCAGAUGUGAAAUCCCCGGGCUCAACCUGGGAACUGCAUCUGAUACUGGCAAGCUUGAGUCUCGUAGAGGGGGGUAGAAUUCCAGGUGUAGCGGUGAAAUGCGUAGAGAUCUGGAGGAAUACCGGUGGCGAAGGCGGCCCCCUGGACGAAGACUGACGCUCAGGUGCGAAAGCGUGGGGAGCAAACAGGAUUAGAUACCCUGGUAGUCCACGCCGUAAACGAUGUCGACUUGGAGGUUGUGCCCUUGAGGCGUGGCUUCCGGAGCUAACGCGUUAAGUCGACCGCCUGGGGAGUACGGCCGCAAGGUUAAAACUCAAAUGAAUUGACGGGGGCCCGCACAAGCGGUGGAGCAUGUGGUUUAAUUCGAUGCAACGCGAAGAACCUUACCUGGUCUUGACAUCCACAGAACUUUCCAGAGAUGGAUUGGUGCCUUCGGGAACUGUGAGACAGGUGCUGCAUGGCUGUCGUCAGCUCGUGUUGUGAAAUGUUGGGUUAAGUCCCGCAACGAGCGCAACCCUUAUCCUUUGUUGCCAGCGGUCCGGCCGGGAACUCAAAGGAGACUGCCAGUGAUAAACUGGAGGAAGGUGGGGAUGACGUCAAGUCAUCAUGGCCCUUACGACCAGGGCUACACACGUGCUACAAUGGCGCAUACAAAGAGAAGCGACCUCGCGAGAGCAAGCGGACCUCAUAAAGUGCGUCGUAGUCCGGAUUGGAGUCUGCAACUCGACUCCAUGAAGUCGGAAUCGCUAGUAAUCGUGGAUCAGAAUGCCACGGUGAAUACGUUCCCGGGCCUUGUACACACCGCCCGUCACACCAUGGGAGUGGGUUGCAAAAGAAGUAGGUAGCUUAACCUUCGGGAGGGCGCUUACCACUUUGUGAUUCAUGACUGGGGUGAAGUCGUAACAAGGUAACCGUAGGGGAACCUGCGGUUGGAUCACCUCCUUACCUUAAAGAAGC
Molecule: ribosomal RNA, 1554 nt
Filed under: Escherichia coli
Lineage: Bacteria; Pseudomonadati; Pseudomonadota; Gammaproteobacteria; Enterobacterales; Enterobacteriaceae
Description: bacterial SSU rRNA
Rfam family: Bacterial small subunit ribosomal RNA
Source: RNAcentral